Long non-coding RNA from Pogoniulus pusillus (Red-fronted tinkerbird), 1764 nucleotides. RefSeq lists it as uncharacterized. The record is from RefSeq and is a predicted model, not a curated record. Lineage: Eukaryota; Metazoa; Chordata; Aves; Piciformes; Lybiidae. The transcript is spliced from 4 exons.
GAGUGGUCUUGACUCUGACCCCAGGUCCUCCUGAAUCCUCCCUAGGAGUGAGUCUGAACCUUAUUCCAGGUGCAGUGGUUAGCUCACUCCCACUUAGUCUCUAGCCCCCUAUAAAAACAGAGGAACUUCCUCUCUUCAGUUCUCUUGCCUUGCUUCAUUGCCUGCCAGCACCAUCCUUUUGUUCCUGCUGCUCUUUGUUUUACCACGUGGCCAUCCUCCCACAAGGGGAAAAACAUCUGCCAAAAAAGAGGAUGCUUUCAGUUGGUUUGUGCUUGAUCAAGAAGAGGAAAGGGUGGUCAGCCUUAAACUCUUCAGAGACACUUGCAUCAUCUGUUCUAGCUCUUGUUGAGCCUGCCACUUCACUGCCUUCUCCAUAGAUUUCCACAAAUGCCUCAUGGACAGCUUCAGAUAUCUUCAGGCUCUCUGCUGAAGAUAUGCCAGAGAGAUCUGAUGAUGAACUGAACAGAACUGGUCCACUCCAUGAGUUUUUUGGAGGUGAUUGCAUCCUCAAGCUACAAGGAGACAAAGAGACAAGCAAAUAAGAUCUCAGACAAUUUGAUUUCUGAAAGUAUGAAGGAAACAUGUUGAGCACUGCCAAACCAAAUAAUAAUGACAGCAAUGUUGACCUGAACAUCUUCAGUGUGCAGCAAUGGAGAUAUAAAACAUUUGGAGUUCAAGCUGCUGCAGUAACAUCUGCUUAGCUGACAAGAAUCUGUUCUGUGGAGAACUAAAGCACUUUCUUAAGCAAUCCAUGCUCAACACAAAGUACUGCAGGACCACUGAUAUAGCUGCAUGUUUCUGUACAGCAAUCUUGUGUUGCCAGUAUUCAGAUCUGUGCUGGUGAAGUGUUUCAGGGUAAGUUUAUUGUGAAGCGUUUUACAGCACCUAACUUCCACUGUAUUUAUGAUUUUCUAAAACUCAGCAGCCAGGACCAUACCUGCUCCAGGCCAGAGGCAUCAUCAGGCAAAAAGACUAAAAAGCUCAGCUGCCCACUGGCAUAUGGAAGCUCCAGGAUCUUCAAUUUCUCUGCAGCCACCUCUGCCACUUUAAAGGAACCAGUCCGAUACAUCAUCUGCACAGGUUUACUUUCUUGCUGCACAAUCAAACAAGAUAAAACAGUUUUCACAAAGUUCAUUCAUAGAGUGCAGAAAUGUCUACUUAUGACUAGGACUACUGAUUGCUCUUAUUCAGGGAGGCUGUCUAACAACUUAGCUAUUCUUCAUAACUUGUAGAAGAUGACACCUUUAAAGUGAUGCAUGUUUGUGUACCUCAGUCAUUCUGAAAGGCACAGUCUGGAUGUCUUCAUCUUUAAAUGCUUUCUCCCACAGUCCUUUGAAGUAAAUGGCAUUGACAAGGACAGUCUCAGUCUCAUGAUCCACGGAGUCAGGUUGAAGGAUAUUUUUUAUCACUCCUUUAAGAAUGAAAAGAGAUUGCAGCUUUAGAUGAAGGAUACAGAAUGUAGGGGGAGGAGGGCAUAAGACAGGGACAUUGGUUCAGUUUUGUAGCUGUAAUCUUGUACCUCUGAAGUUGAAUUCCCUUACUACUGUUUGUAAUAGCUGCCAUUUCCCUCUCUCUUAAGGAUCAUGAUAAAUACAAGACCCAGAUAUUUGCUUGUAAACCUAUUUAUUUUGUGAGAGUGAGAAGAACCAUUAGAACCUUUUAAUCCUAGGUGAUCUCCAAUCCAAGCAGUGAACAUAAAUAAUUCUUGCUUCAGACUAGAGCUAAAAAGAAAUGUUUAUAUACAGAAGGUAGCAGAAAAGGAAA